CACGAACCGUACGAACGUUAUUCGGAAUCACUGGGCUUAAAGGGUGCGUAGGCGGCCCGGUAAGUUGGGUGUGAAAUCCCUCGGCUCAACCGAGGAAUUGCGCUCAAGACUGCCGGGCUAGAGGAAGUCAGAGGUGAGCGGAACUUAGGGUGGAGCGGUGAAAUGCGUUGAUAUCCUAAGGAACACCAGUGGCGAAAGCGGCUCACUGGGGCUUUACUGACGCUGAGGCACGAAAGCCAGGGUAGCGAACGGG
This 253-nucleotide ribosomal RNA is filed under the name uncultured bacterium. RNAcentral's name for it is "partial 16S ribosomal RNA". It matches the Rfam family "Bacterial small subunit ribosomal RNA", at positions 524 to 776 of the family's 1533-position model. The record is from RNAcentral.